GACGAACGCUGGCGGCGUGCUUAACACAUGCAAGUCGAACGAGUGGCGAACGGGUGAGUAAUACGUGGGUAACCUGCCCUCCUGUUUGGGAUAAGCCAUGGAAACGGGGUCUAAUACCGAAUAAAGGGGGAUGGGUGCGCGGCAUGUCAGCUUGUGGGUGGGGUGAUGGCUACCAAGGCGUGACGGGUAGCCGGCCUGAGAGGGUGAACGGCCACAUUGGGACUGGGAUACGGCACAGACUACUACGGGACGCUGGAGUGGGGGCUAUUGCACAAUGGGCGAAAGCGUGAUGCAGCGCCGCCGCGUGUAGGAAGCCGGUCUUCGGAUUGUAAACUGCUUUAGACAGGGACGCGUUACCUGUAGAAUAAGCCCCGGCUAACUACGUGCCAGCAGCCGCGGUAAUUC
RNAcentral lists this ribosomal RNA (405 nucleotides) under uncultured bacterium. Its description in RNAcentral is "partial 16S ribosomal RNA". It matches the Rfam family "Bacterial small subunit ribosomal RNA", at positions 28 to 526 of the family's 1533-position model. The record is from RNAcentral.